RNAcentral lists this ribosomal RNA (660 nucleotides) under Triticum aestivum (bread wheat). Its description in RNAcentral is "partial small subunit ribosomal RNA". Lineage: Eukaryota; Viridiplantae; Streptophyta; Magnoliopsida; Poales; Poaceae. The record is from RNAcentral.
AUGAUGUUGAACCGGCAAUACCGCAACCUCAAGCAGGGGGAUCUCUCCGUCGCCGAGUAUGCCCGCCGCAUGAAGCUUCUCACCGCCGGCCUGGCCGACAUCGAGCACGCCGUCACUGAGGUGGAUCUCACCACUCAGUUCCUUCACGACAUCGACAAACGCCUCAACACCAUCCGCGUCGUGCUCGGGGACACGGUCCCUCUGUCGCCGUUCGAGACGGUGUUCUCGCGCCUGAAGCUCGCAAAGGAGAAUCUCGCCCAGCGCAUGGCUGAUGAGCCGGCCACGAUCCUCGUUGUCACCGGGGGCGGCGGCCCCUCCAGCAGCUCUUCUAGAUCCGGCGGCUCUGGUCCUCGCCCGUCGACCGCGCUGAUCGGGGCCCCGCCUCUCCGGCCGGUCGCGGCUCUGGCAACCGCACUGAUGGUGGCGACCGCGGUGGAGGCGGCCGCGGGCGCGGCCGUGGGCGCGGUGAUCACGGCGGUCGUGGCAACUCCCCGCCCAUGUCCUACAAUCCCUACAUGGGGUUCUUCGCGCUCUACGGGAUGGCCCUCCCGAACCCGCGUCCUGGCUGGGUCCCUCCCAAUGCCGCCGGCGUGCUCGGCCCGCGGCCAGGGUCCCAUGCACAGGCGUAUCCGAUGCAGUUCUUCGGCUACCACGCGCUGA